Aedes albopictus (Asian tiger mosquito) is the source of this 118-nucleotide non-coding RNA. The record is from Rfam. NCBI's taxonomy places the organism in Eukaryota, Metazoa, Arthropoda, Insecta, Diptera, Culicidae.
UGCCCAGCAACUCCUAUCCCUACCUCCACGCGGUACCGACCGGAAACUAUGAGCAACCUUAGGGAAGAUCGGGUAACCAACCCCGGUGGGAACUUCGGUCGUAGGCUGACAGGGAAGG